UCAUCGGCUCAGGACCAUUGC
This 21-nucleotide non-coding RNA is filed under the name Arabidopsis thaliana (thale cress). The record is from RNAcentral. Lineage: Eukaryota; Viridiplantae; Streptophyta; Magnoliopsida; Brassicales; Brassicaceae.